This 353-nucleotide ribosomal RNA is filed under the name uncultured bacterium. RNAcentral's name for it is "bacterial SSU rRNA". It matches the Rfam family "Bacterial small subunit ribosomal RNA", at positions 28 to 374 of the family's 1533-position model. The record is from RNAcentral.
GAUGAACGCUAGCGGCAGGCUUAAUACAUGCAAGUCGUGGGGCAGCAGGUUUGUAGCAAUACAGAUGCUGGCGACCGGCAAACGGGUGCGGAACACGUACAGAACCUUCCUUUGAGCGGGGAAUAGCCCAGAGAAAUUUGGAUUAAUACCCCAUAGUAUAAUGAAGUGGCAUCACUUUAUUAUUAAAGAUUUAUCACUCGAAGAUGGCUGUGCGGCUGAUUAGGUAGUUGGCGGGGUAAAGGCCCACCAAGCCUGCGAUCAGUAACUGGUGUGAGAGCACGACCAGUCACACGGGCACUGAGACACGGGCCCGACUCCUACGGGAGGCAGCAGUAAGGAAUAUUGGUCAAUGG